Molecule: ribosomal RNA, 597 nt
Filed under: Triticum aestivum (bread wheat)
Lineage: Eukaryota; Viridiplantae; Streptophyta; Magnoliopsida; Poales; Poaceae
Description: partial small subunit ribosomal RNA
Source: RNAcentral
AUGGCGGGGGAACGGUGGUACGACGGUCUUCAUAAAGGGUACGACAAAGAGCAUCGUGCGCGGGACAUUGAGAAUAAUGGGGAACUAACACCUAUGCGCAUGAGGGGUCAUAGUGCCCACGACUGGCCGUGCGACGAGCGGUAUGAGACAUACUUCGAGAGAUUGGGCCUUCUCCCGUUCGUGCUUCAGUUCAAGCGACACGCUCCGUCGAUCAACCAUGGGGCAAUGACCGCACUUAUUGACCGUUGGAGGCCAGAGACACACUCAUUCCACUUGUCAUGUGGAGAGAUGACCGUGACCUUGGAGGACAUGGCGAUGAUCAGUGGCCUUCCAAUCAAUGGCGUCGUCGUCUUGUCUUGCAACAGGAACAACAAGAGGAGCAACUGCAAGAAGAGCCAGAGCAAGAGGAGGCACAGCAAGAUGAAGAGGAGUACAAUCAAGAUGAAGAGGAGGUGCUUGGGAUGUCCCAAAUGGAUGAUGCGCCUGAGCCAUCACAGCCCACACAACGCACGCCGCGCAGCAAAAGAGGAAGGAAGAAGUGAAUUAGUUAAUACUAGAUUCUCGCGAACUUUGUUAUGUUUGAUUCGUGAACUUUAG